This 253-nucleotide ribosomal RNA is filed under the name uncultured bacterium. RNAcentral's name for it is "partial 16S ribosomal RNA". It matches the Rfam family "Bacterial small subunit ribosomal RNA", at positions 524 to 776 of the family's 1533-position model. The record is from RNAcentral.
UACGAAGGGUGCAAGCGUUACUCGGAUUUACUGGGCGUAAAGCGUCCGCAGGCUGUUUAGUUAGUUUGAUGUGAAAGUCCACUGCUCAAAGGUGGAAGUGCAUUGAAUACUGCUAGACUAGAAUAUUGGAGGGGUCAGUGGAAUUCCUGGUGUAGAGGUGAAAUUCGUAGAUAUCAGGAGGAACAACGGAAGCGAAGGCGACUGACUGGACAAUUAUUGACGCUCAUGGACGAAAGUGUGGGGAGCAAACAGG